Molecule: non-coding RNA, 613 nt
Organism: Pelobates cultripes (western spadefoot toad)
Lineage: Eukaryota; Metazoa; Chordata; Amphibia; Anura; Pelobatidae
Source: the annotation of a GenBank genome assembly
CAUAUGAUGUUUUUUUUGCAGAUCCACUACACUCAUUAUAUACGAGUCUUAAUAGUGCCUUUAGAGAAAUGGCAUCUCAAAAGAAGUAUUGAAACUUCCAUCAAUCAGCAGAAGCUUCCUCACUCAACUUAUGAGAAAUGCAUAGCAGCUAUCUAUCUAAAGAAACUAUCUAAAUUUGCCUGUGCUAACAAACAACAAUUCCCAAUGGCUUGUGAAUGAUUUGUUACGUCCCGUUUGCUGUCCUCUUUCUGUUCCUCCUUUCUGGUCUACUUUAGAACACGUAAGACAAUCCCUUGGUUACAAGCCCAUCACCUUAGUUGAAGUUCUGGUUGGCUUUGUCUUUCUUUGAAACAUCAUUUUUAAAAGGAUCCAAAAUCUGUUUAUUUCUGUUUGUUACGUUACUGUGCUAUUCCUGUUUUAUUAUAUUUCUGAUAGAACAGUUAAAUAAUUUCAUGUCUUUGCCCCUAUUGCAGUUAUGUUAGGACCUCCCCAAUCAAUCUUGAAACCAAAGACAGGUUUGAAGAAUGCUGGACUAGAUGAGACAUAAUGAAAUUAAUUUAAAAAAAGAAAGAAAAAUGAUUGCACAUUUUACCUCUAUGGUUUUUGUUUCUAG